Molecule: ribosomal RNA, 630 nt
Filed under: uncultured bacterium
Lineage: Bacteria
Description: bacterial SSU rRNA
Rfam family: Bacterial small subunit ribosomal RNA
Source: RNAcentral
CCUACGGGAGGCAGCAGUAGGGAAUCUUCCACAAUGGGCGAAAGCCUGAUGGAGCAACGCCGCGUGAGUGAUGAAGGCCUUCGGGUUGUAAAACUCUGUCAUUCGGGACGAACCGGAGUCUGAGGAAAUGCAGACUCUCUGACGGUACCGGAGGAGGAAGCCCCGGCUAACUACGUGCCAGCAGCCGCGGUAAUACGUAGGGGGCAAGCGUUGUCCGGAUUCACUGGGCGUAAAGCGCGCGCAGGCGGUGAUGUAAGUCUGGGGUGAAAACCCGAAGCUCAACUUCGGGACUGCCUUGGAUACUGCGUCACUUGAGGAUAGGAGAGGCAAGGGGAAUUCCACGUGUAGCGGUGAAAUGCGUAGAGAUGUGGAGGAACACCUGUGGCGAAGGCGCCUUGCUGGCCUAUUUCUGACGCUGAGGCGCGAAAGCGUGGGGAGCAAACAGGAUUAGAUACCCUGGUAGUCCACGCUGUAAACGAUGAGUGCUAGGUGUAGGUGGGCUCAUACCCAUCUGUGACCGAAGCUAACGCAUUAGCACUCCGCCGUGGGGAGUACGGUCGCGAAGACUUAGAAACUCGAAAGGAUUGGACCGGCUGAGGACGNGCCGAGGCGACGACGAGGGGAGGUAGG